Molecule: small RNA, 123 nt
Filed under: Marmota monax (woodchuck)
Lineage: Eukaryota; Metazoa; Chordata; Mammalia; Rodentia; Sciuridae
Source: RNAcentral
GUCAGGUGUAGUGGUGCACACCUGUAAUCCCAGUGGCUCAGGAGGCUGAGUCAGGAGGAUCGCAAGUUCAGGCAGUCUCAGCAAAAGCAAGGUGCUAAGCAAUUCAGUGAGACCCUGUCUCUA